Molecule: long non-coding RNA, 552 nt
Organism: Gallus gallus (chicken)
Lineage: Eukaryota; Metazoa; Chordata; Aves; Galliformes; Phasianidae
Source: Ensembl
GUGAGCGGCGGCGGGUGGGGCGCGGGCGGUGCGGGGCGGUCGGGGCCGGGGGCGCGCCGCUGAGCUCCUGCGGAAAACUUGCCCGUUUCCUCCCCCUCCGCCGGGCGAAGCCCGCAGCCCCGCUGUCAGACCGCUCCCGCUGCGCGCUGCCGCCCUCCCGCCCCGCACCUGCCGCCCGCGCUGGGCGCUUCCCGACGGCGCCGGGCUCGGGCGGUUGGGCCGGCCCAGAGUUCUGAUCCCGCUUUCAGCUGGAGAAAGGCGACGGCGGCGCGCACGUGUGGUGUGAAGAAAGAGCCUUUAUCGCGGUGCUGAGGAGGAGGACUGCCUUGGUCAUGGUGAUACAGAUCUACCUGGAGAGUAGGGCCUGGAUGACUGGGAUUUAAGAUCACGGUGAUGUUUUAACAGGAAUGUUGCCAGGUGAAGAAAGAUGGAGUAGGUGGAAAGUGUGAAAGCAUCUUCCACACUGCUGCACCCCUCUUCAAAUUAAUCAUUAUUGGUAAGAAAGGAAGCUAUGCCUUAUGUCAUUCCCAAAAGUUCAGCACACGUCUCUCU